This 420-nucleotide ribosomal RNA is filed under the name Streptococcus mutans. RNAcentral's name for it is "bacterial SSU rRNA". It matches the Rfam family "Bacterial small subunit ribosomal RNA", at positions 28 to 431 of the family's 1533-position model. Lineage: Bacteria; Bacillati; Bacillota; Bacilli; Lactobacillales; Streptococcaceae. The record is from RNAcentral.
GACGAACGCUGGCGGCGUGCCUAAUACAUGCAAGUGGGACGCAAGGGAACACACUGUGCUUGCACACCGUGUUUUCUUGAGUCGCGAACGGGUGAGUAACGCGUAGGUAACCUGCCUAUUAGCGGGGGAUAACUAUUGGAAACGAUAGCUAAUACCGCAUAAUAUUAAUUAUUGCAUGAUAAUUGAUUGAAAGAUGCAAGCGCAUCACUAGUAGAUGGACCUGCGUUGUAUUAGCUAGUUGGUAAGGUAAGAGCUUACCAAGGCGACGAUACAUAGCCGACCUGAGAGGGUGAUCGGCCACACUGGGACUGAGACACGGCCCAGACUCCUACGGGAGGCAGCAGUAGGGAAUCUUCGGCAAUGGACGAAAGUCUGACCGAGCAACGCCGCGUGAGUGAAGAAGGUUUUCGGAUCGAAAGC